AACGAACGCUGGCGGCGUGCUUAACACAUGCAAGUCGAACGGUAAGGCCCCAGCUUGCUGGGGUACACGAGUGGCGAACGGGUGAGUAACACGUGGGUGACCUGCCCCGCACUUCGGGAUAAGCCUGGGGAACUGGGUCUAAUACCGGAUAGGACCGCACCGUGAGGGUGUGGUGGAAAGUUUUUCGGUGUGGGAUGGGCCCGCGGCCGAUCAGCUUGUUGGUGGGGUAAUGGCCUACCAAGGCGGCGACGGGUAGCCGGCCUGAGAGGGUGGACGGCCACAUUGGGACUGAGACACGGCCCAGACUCCUACGGGAGGCAGCAGUGGGGAAUAUUGCACAAUGGGCGGAAGCCUGAUGCAGCGACGCCGCGUGGGGGAUGACGGCCUUCGGGUUGUAAACUCCUUUCACCAUCGACGAAGGUUUUCUGACGGUAGAUGGAGAAGAAGCACCGGCUAACUACGUG
This 464-nucleotide ribosomal RNA is filed under the name uncultured bacterium. Its description in RNAcentral is "partial 16S ribosomal RNA". It matches the Rfam family "Bacterial small subunit ribosomal RNA", at positions 28 to 507 of the family's 1533-position model. The record is from RNAcentral.